GACGAACGCUGGCGGCGUGCCUAAUACAUGCAAGUUGAGCGAUGAAGAUUGGUGCUUGCACCAAUUUGAAGAGCAGCGAACGGGUGAGUAACGCGUGGGGAAUCUGCCUUUGAGCGGGGGACAACAUUUGGAAACGAAUGCUAAUACCGCAUAACAACUUUAAACAUAAGUUUUAAGUUUGAAAGAUGCAAUUGCAUCACUCAAAGAUGAUCCCGCGUUGUAUUAGCUAGUUGGUGAGGUAAAGGCUCACCAAGGCGAUGAUACAUAGCCGACCUGAGAGGGUGAUCGGCCACAUUGGGACUGAGACACGGCCCAAACUCCUACGGGAGGCAGCAGUAGGGAAUCUUCGGCAAUGGACGAAAGUCUGACCGAGCAACGCCGCGUGAGUGGAGAAGGUUUUCGGAUCGUAAAACUCUGUUGGUAGAGAAGAACGUUGGUGAGAGUGGAAAGCUCAUCAAGUGACGGUAACUACCCAGAAAGGGACGGCUAACUACGUG
Molecule: ribosomal RNA, 497 nt
Filed under: uncultured bacterium
Lineage: Bacteria
Description: partial 16S ribosomal RNA
Rfam family: Bacterial small subunit ribosomal RNA
Source: RNAcentral